Molecule: ribosomal RNA, 254 nt
Filed under: uncultured bacterium
Lineage: Bacteria
Description: partial 16S ribosomal RNA
Rfam family: Bacterial small subunit ribosomal RNA
Source: RNAcentral
UACAGAGGGGGCAAGCGUUGUUCGGAAUUACUGGGCGUAAAGGGCGCGUAGGCGGCCUUCUAAGUCGAACGUGAAAUCCCCGGGCUCAACCCGGGAACUGCGUCCGAUACUGGAAGGCUUGAAUCCGGGAGAGGGAUGCGGAAUUCCAGGUGUAGCGGUGAAAUGCGUAGAUAUCUGGAGGAAUACCGGUGGCGAAGGCGGCAUCCUGGACCGGCAUUGACGCUGAUGAGCGAAAAGCUAGGGGAGCAAACGGG